Molecule: long non-coding RNA, 313 nt
Filed under: Malus domestica (apple)
Lineage: Eukaryota; Viridiplantae; Streptophyta; Magnoliopsida; Rosales; Rosaceae
Description: long non-coding RNA (MDOM_LNC013316)
Source: RNAcentral
AGACCCUUUAGCGAAGUGCUUAGUCCCAUUUAGUCGGGACGAGUAUCAUUAAAGCUUGUCCCGGUUUGUAUCAAACAAAGGACUAGACUACCACUUAGUCCAUUCCAAUCUAGUGAAUGCUAGUGAGUGCAAACAAACGUACCCUUAUACUAUGUUUGGAUGAGGGAAAUAAACUUGAAAUUUAGAUAAAAGUCAAAAUUUAUAAAUUGACAUACACCAAGGAAGAAAAUAUCGGUAAUAUCGGAAAUAUCGGUAGUCCGAAAACACGGAAAUAUCGAUGGAAAUAUCGGGGAUAAUAUCGAUAUCGAUAAAA